RNAcentral lists this small RNA (568 nucleotides) under Magnusiomyces suaveolens. RNAcentral's name for it is "eukaryotic LSU rRNA". It matches the Rfam family "Eukaryotic large subunit ribosomal RNA", at positions 88 to 672 of the family's 3401-position model. Lineage: Eukaryota; Fungi; Ascomycota; Dipodascomycetes; Dipodascales; Dipodascaceae. The record is from RNAcentral.
GGCGAGUGAAGCGGCAAAAGCUCAAUUUUGAAAUCCCUUCGGCGAGUUGUAAGUGAAGUGGUUAAGCUUUGAUAUAAGUUUCCUGGAACGGAACGCCAUAGAGGGUGAUAGCCCCGUUGUCUUUGCUUAAUGUGCUACUUCAGAGCGAGUCGAGUUGUUUGGGAAUGCAGCUCUAACAGGUGGUAAACUCCAUCUAAGGCUAAAUAUUGCUGGGAGACCGAUAGCGAACAAGUACAGUGAUGGAAAGAUGAAAAGCACUUUGAAAAGAGAGUGAAAUAGCGUGUGAAAUUGUUGGAGGGGAAGGCGAUGAUAGGAAUAGGAGGCUGCGGUUUGAAAUAAUUAUUUUUCGGGCCACGGUCUCUGGUGCCUAUUUUCGCACCCGUCUUGAACCCGGACCCAUGUGUUUGUGUGGCUCUUCAGUGGCCGCUUCAUCCGCCCGUCUUGAAACUGCCACCAGGUGUUUGAUAGCGGGUAUCGAGAGACUGGCCGGGACCUGUGACUGCUGUGCUAUUGCAACGAUGCUGGCAUAAUGAUUAACCGCCGCCCGUCUUGAAACAAAAACCAACCA